AUUGAACGCUGGCGGCAGGCCUAACACAUGCAAGUCGAACGGUAACAGGAAGAAGCUUGCUUCUUUGCUGACGAGUGGCGGACGGGUGAGUAAUGUCUGGGAAACUGCCUGAUGGAGGGGGAUAACUACUGGAAACGGUAGCUAAUACCGCAUAACGUCGCAAGACCAAAGAGGGGGACCUUCGGGCCUCUUGCCAUCGGAUGUGCCCAGAUGGGAUUAGCUAGUAGGUGGGGUAACGGCUCACCGAGGCGACGAUCCCUAGCUGGUCUGAGAGGAUGACCAGCCACACUGGAACUGAGACACGGUCCAGACUCCUACGGGAGGCAGCAGUGGGGAAUAUUGCACAAUGGGCGCAAGCCUGAUGCAGCCAUGCCGCGUGUAUGAAGAAGGCCUUCGGGUUGUAAAGUACUUUCAGCGGGGAGGAAGGGAGUAAAGUUAAUACCUGUGCUCAUUGACGUUACCCGCAGAAGAAGCACCGGCUAACUCCGUG
This 490-nucleotide ribosomal RNA is filed under the name uncultured bacterium. RNAcentral's name for it is "partial 16S ribosomal RNA". It matches the Rfam family "Bacterial small subunit ribosomal RNA", at positions 30 to 507 of the family's 1533-position model. The record is from RNAcentral.